Molecule: non-coding RNA, 75 nt
Organism: Rhodocollybia butyracea
Lineage: Eukaryota; Fungi; Basidiomycota; Agaricomycetes; Agaricales; Omphalotaceae
Source: the annotation of a GenBank genome assembly
GGCCAGAUAGCUCAGUUGGUUAAGAGCACCUUGGGAUUUCCCAGAAGGUCCUGGGUUCAAUCCCCAGUCUGGACA